AGUGAACGCUGGCGGUAGGCCUAACACAUGCAAGUCGAACGGCAGCACAGUAAGAGCUUGCUCUUACGGGUGGCGAGUGGCGGACGGGUGAGGAAUACAUCGGAAUCUACUUUUUCGUGGGGGAUAACGUAGGGAAACUUACGCUAGUACCGCAUACGACCUACGGGUGAAAGCAGGGGAUCUUCGGACCUUGCGCGAUUGAAUGAGCCGAUGUCGGAUUAGCUAGUUGGCGGGGUAAAGGCCCACCAAGGCGACGAUCCGUAGCUGGUCUGAGAGGAUGAUCAGCCACACUGGAACUGAGACACGGUCCAGACUCCUACGGGAGGCAGCAGUGGGGAAUAUUGGACAGUGGGCGCAAGCCUGAUCCAGCCAUACCGCGUGGGUGAAGAAGGCCUUCGGGUUGUAAAGCCCUUUUGUUGGGAAAGAAAAGCAGCAGGUUAAUACCCCGCUGUUCUGACGGUACCCAAAGAAUAAGCACCGGCUAACUUCGUG
RNAcentral lists this ribosomal RNA (492 nucleotides) under uncultured bacterium. Its description in RNAcentral is "partial 16S ribosomal RNA". It matches the Rfam family "Bacterial small subunit ribosomal RNA", at positions 29 to 507 of the family's 1533-position model. The record is from RNAcentral.